RNAcentral lists this ribosomal RNA (1031 nucleotides) under Leptospora rubella. RNAcentral describes it as "SSU rRNA". It matches the Rfam family "Eukaryotic small subunit ribosomal RNA", at positions 64 to 1106 of the family's 1831-position model. Lineage: Eukaryota; Fungi; Ascomycota; Dothideomycetes. The record is from RNAcentral.
UAUAAGCAAUUAUACCGUGAAACUGCGAAUGGCUCAUUAAAUCAGUUAUCGUUUAUUUGAUAGUACCUUACUACUUGGAUAACCGUGGUAAUUCUAGAGCUAAUACAUGCUGAAAACCCCAACUUCGGGAGGGGUGUAUUUAUUAGAUAAAAAACCAACGCCCUUCGGGGCUUUUUGGUGAUUCAUGAUAACUUUACGGAUCGCAUGGCCUUGCGCCGGCGACGGUUCAUUCAAAUUUCUGCCCUAUCAACUUUCGAUGGUAAGGUAUUGGCUUACCAUGGUUUCAACGGGUAACGGGGAAUUAGGGUUCGAUUCCGGAGAGGGAGCCUGAGAAACGGCUACCACAUCCAAGGAAGGCAGCAGGCGCGCAAAUUACCCAAUCCCGACACGGGGAGGUAGUGACAAUAAAUACUGAUACAGGGCUCUUUUGGGUCUUGUAAUUGGAAUGAGUACAAUUUAAACCUCUUAACGAGGAACAAUUGGAGGGCAAGUCUGGUGCCAGCAGCCGCGGUAAUUCCAGCUCCAAUAGCGUAUAUUAAAGUUGUUGCAGUUAAAAAGCUCGUAGUUGAACCUUGGGUCUGGCUGGCAGGUCCGCCUCACCGCGUGUACUUGUCCGGCCGGGCCUUCCUUCUGGAGAACCUCAUGCCCUUCACUGGGCGUGUUGGGGACCAGGACUUUUACUUUGAAAAAAUUAGAGUGUUCAAAGCAGGCCUUUGCUCGAAUACGUUAGCAUGGAAUAAUAGAAUAGGACGUGCGGUCCUAUUUUGUUGGUUUCUAGGACCGCCGUAAUGAUUAAUAGGGACAGUCGGGGGCAUCAGUAUUCAAUUGUCAGAGGUGAAAUUCUUGGAUUUAUUGAAGACUAACUACUGCGAAAGCAUUUGCCAAGGAUGUUUUCAUUAAUCAGUGAACGAAAGUUAGGGGAUCGAAGACGAUCAGAUACCGUCGUAGUCUUAACCGUAAACUAUGCCGACUAGGGAUCGGGCGAUGUUCUUUUUCUGACUCGCUCGGCACCUUACGAGAAAUCAAAGUUU